AUUGAAUCUAUCGNGCCCACACCGUGAACCAUUUAUGCCCUUUCUGAAAGGCAGCUCUUGAAAGGGAGUUUGCCGAUUGAAAGCGCAGGUCAGGGGCCGCAGCUCUUUGGCUGUCGGUUGACUUGACUGGGCGGGUCCAAUACCGUUGGGUUCCUCUUGCCUUGGCUUGAGGUUCCUGGCUGUGAGGGGUGGCUUGAAAAACUCUUAAGCAAUUUUUUCUGAAGGCAGACUGCUAGCUGGCUUGCUGGCUGCAGACUGAAUUAAUAACGACAACUCUCAACAACGGAUAUCUUGGCUCCCGUAACGAUGAAGAACGCAGCGAAAAUGCGAUACGUAGUGUGAAUUGCAGAAUUCCGUGAACCAUCGAAUCUUUGAACGCAAAUUGCGCUUGAGGCUUCGGCUAARAGCAUGUCUGGCUCAGCGUCGGCUUACUACCCUCAACCAAUUCCCUUAUGGAAAUUGAUUGGAGCUGGCUUUCCGGNUUUUCCUAUUAGGUUGCCGGUCAGCUGAAAAAAUAUUCGCGCUGUGGGAGCUGCUUUUCCCUUCAAAAAGGAAAGCCGAGUUCCGAUUUGGUAGGUGACC
Molecule: ribosomal RNA, 582 nt
Filed under: uncultured Trebouxia photobiont
Lineage: Eukaryota; Viridiplantae; Chlorophyta; Trebouxiophyceae; Trebouxiales; Trebouxiaceae
Description: eukaryotic LSU rRNA
Rfam family: 5.8S ribosomal RNA (bases 272-426)
Source: RNAcentral